This is a non-coding RNA of Coturnix japonica (Japanese quail), 8491 nucleotides long. NCBI's taxonomy places the organism in Eukaryota, Metazoa, Chordata, Aves, Galliformes, Phasianidae. The record is from RefSeq and is a predicted model, not a curated record.
UGCUGUUAGACGUGCUGAACUCUGCUAUGCAGGCAGCACUCCCCCAAACAUCAAAGUCUGGUUAAAGCUGUGAUGUUAAAACCUGCUGAUUUCAAUGGUGUGCCCAGUGCCUCAUUGUCAGGUUUAUUUUUGACAACCAAUGGAUUCUCCUCCCCAGCUCUGUACAUGACUUAAAAAAAAAAGUCAGGAACUGGGCCAGCAUUAAUAAAUGGCAGUUCUUCCACUUGCAGUACGAGGCAUUACCCCACCCUACCAAGCCAACUGCUUGCAGAAAAACAGCAAAAAAAACAGUUCUCUCUCCUUUUUCUGUUCCCAGACUGCCAUGUCUGAGUGCUCUGUGUUUGCUUUGAAGUGCCCCACGCAUUUGCAGGCUCUGCUCCUUGCUCCUUCCUGACACCCUCCACAGUGACAUCUGACAGGGUGAGCUCCUUCCAUCUCUCCUCUGCGUGGUGAGGCUGUAAAGUAAUGCAAAGAGGGAAGCAUAGUGGCACUGUGGGACACACUUGAUUAAUCCAUUGGUCAAGGCGGUAACGCAGAGGCUUUGUUGCACUGUGCACGGUUUGUUCCUUCUCCUUCCUCGUGUCACAACAAGGACGUUGUUGUGUUUUGCUGAAUCCUUCCUUGCUUGAGGCCAGUCAUUUAUCAAAAGAGAUUUCCAUCUUGGACUAAUAAUUCAUCUCUUAUUGCAGCCCUCACUGCUCUGAGGGCCCAUUUGUUUCCUCUUAUCACAGCCUAAUUAUUUGGCCAAGGAAAAUUUCUGUCCAUCCUGAGGACAGUGGAUGAGAGAUCAGGAGAACCUGGCCUCCAGGUAGGGACGAGCUUGUGGGUGUGGGAAGGGGCCUGGGGUCAGGCCUCGUGCUUUGGCAACUCUCCUUUUGUGCUUUUUUCUCAAACGAAUGCUCACACCCACACAUCUCCAACCCCCCACUCUCUCAUAAUUGUCAUAGAAUCAUUAAAGUUGGAAGGGACCUCUAAGAUCAUAAAGCCCAGGCAUCUAUGAACAGAUGCCCCGUCCUUUGAGGUGUUCAAGGCCAGGUUGGGGUCCUGGGCUGCCUGAUGUGGUGUUAGAUGUGGAGGUUGGUGGCCCUGCAUGUAGCAAGAGAGUGUUGGAGUUUGGAUGAUCCUUGAGGUCCCUUCCAACCCAAGCCAUUCUAUGAUUCUGUGAUCUACCCAUCUCCACCAUGCCCACACAGGGCAUCAUUAGGGCUGGACAAAGACUUUGUCUUUCCACCUCACCCUGACAAACUGGGAGUGAAAGGAGAGUAAGAAUUUGUGUCAUCCAGACCUGGCCAGUGAUUGGAUUAAAGAAGGGAGGAUGUGUGGAUGGAUGAACAGAUAGUAAUCACAGAAGCAUAAUUAAUAACAAUGACAGAAGGGCAUCUCGCUCCUAUUAAUAGUACAUGCACAGCUUUAAUCAGCUCUGUCCCCCAUCCAAUGGGAGAUUUGAACAGAAUCAAUUGCUAAUCUCUAUCAGAAAGCUGUUCUGAUCAGAUUGAUGGCACAUGCGUGGUUGAGCAGCAGAUUCAGCUGGGCCCAUCAUGAUUACUCAUACCAAUUCAGAAGUUUUAUUUGAGGAGAAGUUCCAAAACCUCAUUGGUUUGUUAAGCAUAUCAUAGGUAUCAAUUGCCCAUUGCUGUAUGGCCUGCAAGAGAUGCAGCAAAUGCAAUAAAAACCUUAUCCAUCGUUUCAUCUGGAAGCCCCAUUUACCUGAACUGAGCUGCUUCCAAUGAAUAUUUCACAACGUGUUUCACCACAAGUGCACUUGCAACUUAUGAAGCAAAAACACAAAUGUUUUAAUUCUGACAAAAUGAGCAUUUUUCAUGCACCAGCCUCUAUUCGGCACAUAGUUCUGUGGCUUAAUGGCUUUCUGAUUAUCACGUCCCAGGAUAUUACUUCAACUCAAGUGAUAUGAAAUGUCAUUAAAAAGUAAUGUUCCUCUGCUUUGACAAUCAUAUUAGUAAACAUUGGAGGCUCUGCAGGUUAUAUGUCAGGCGGGCCGACACUAAUGGCUUUAUUAACAUAUGCAGUAGCACUUUGUCAAACCUUCUUGUUAAUCUAAAUUUACAUGUGACAAUAAGAAAGGGAGGGGGAGCGAGGUGAUGGUAUUUAAAUAGUGCUUAAGUUUGGCCACAGGCAAAAGGAGCUGGGAAAUCCCCAGUAAGAUCAGAGCUCCCAUGCACCCAUCCCAGCCCCUGCUUAUGGUGAAGCAAUGGGGCCAUUGGGAUUCUCCCAGCAGAAUGACAUGAGGUGGGGCUUCAUGUAGCUCAAUUGCUAGGCAUGGUUGUAAGGAUGCUGUAAUGGAGCACUCCCAUCCCUAGAAUACCCUGACCUGAUAAGGCUGCCUUUGUAGGGACUGCUGACCACGGGGUUCCCACUGCUGUCUUAGAGUCACAGAAUGGCUUGGGUUGGAAGGGACCUCAAAGACCAUCCAGUUCCAACCCUGCUGUGGGUAGGAUUGCCAGCCACUACAGUAGGCACUACAUUAGGGCCCAUCCAGCCUGACCUUGAGCAUCCGCAGGGAUAGGGGCUCUUCUUUUGAUUCUGCCUUAGGGGAAGACAACAGUUGAGAUGCUCCCAAGAGCAGCUCCAUGUUCUCCAUGCGCUAAGCAAAGCCAGUGACUCGCCGUGGCUUUAUUUUGGGAGCUGGGAAGUGUAAGUACAGUGGGACCUAUUCUUGUCCGAAUGACUAAGCCUCCACCAGCCCAGAGCUCUUCAUCUUGGCAAACAGAUGGUGCGUGGAGUAAAAGAGAUGCUGUUCGCUGCUAUGAAAGGCCUUUUCUUUCUGGAGCAGCGCCUUAAAGGUACAAUGGUUUGUUUUGUGGUGCUGGGCGUUGGGUUGCCUUUCAAGGAGCAACACGAGCAGGGAUCACAGAGCAGGGGUCACAGAGCAGCAGCAGCCUGGGGUGAUGUUCCCAAUGGGGAUGGAAGGGCCGCAUCUUCUGUUGGUGCAAAUUGGCCAGUGUAAAAGUGUGUAAGUGGUGAUUUUCUCCUUCAAAAAUCUCAUCAGCUGAUAAAUGCAAAUCCCAAAGAAGCUGAUGCUUACGGGGUGGGCUGGAUGUUCGGAGCUGCUUUCUCUGGCAGUGUUGGACAUGAGCAGUGUGUACCCUGUGUUUUGCAUAAAGGAUAUUGGAGGUGUGAUGGCAAAAGGCACUGUUUCCAUCAGUGUUUUCUGUGGCAAGAUUGAGAAUGGAAACCUGAAACACUGCAGCUUCGCUGGUGCUGUCCCAGGUCAGGUGGCUGAGGUCAGAGAUAUCCCAUGGGAGCAUGGCUGUCCCCUGUUAGUGGAAGGAGUCCGUGUUUCAGCUGGAAUAGAGUGGAUUGUAACCUAGUAGCUGGAACGGUGCUCUGCUUUGGAUUUGGGAUGAUCCUUCUGGUCCUUCCAACUUGGAAUAUUCUGUGAUUCAUAAUGUGGGUAACACACCGGUGGUUUUGUUGGUGCAGAGCAGUGCUGCGUGGAGCCAAGGAUGUCUCAGCUUCUCCUGUUGCCCUGCCAGUGAGGGGCUGGAGUCACAAAGAGCUGAUUGGGGACAGCACCGGGACAGCAGACCAAAAGGAUAUCCUAAACCAUAUGGCAUCAUGCUGGGUCUGACCAAGGAAUGGUUGCUGUUAAUCCAGUAGUUUUGCUUGGUGUGUGCACCCAUGGCAGCAUGUCCAGGGCUUUCCAGGUCUUCAGCCAUUCUUAUGGGUCUUCUCUGGAUAUUCCUCCAGUGUCUCAGCCUGCAUCUCAAGCAGAUACUGGAGUGCUGCCCACGGGCUGGGAGGGGAAAGCUGCUGCUUGGCUUUUGCUCCCUGACCACCAGCCAGCUCCUAUCUCGGGAUGGAUCCAGCAGCAGCGCGGAAGCUCGCAUCCAAAAGCCCCAUUGCUCUGCCAGGGCCACACAGGUAGCAGCGAGUCUGAUGUGAAGUCAAGUGCAACAUCUGGGAGUCUUUUCUCCCCAUGUUUUUCUCUUUUAUUUUGGAGCAGCAGCUCUCAGAGGUACAUGCAGGCCUUGCCAAAGUGCUCCUCGCCUACAUGAACACCCCUACAUCUGCAAAAACGCUGCCCAAAUCUAUCUAGGAAACCUGGAGCAGAGCUCUGUUCUGGAGCAGCAUGCUUGCAUGGGGGGGGUUGUGGCACAGAGAGUGCCCAAUUUUGUUGUCUUUUGGGGUAUUCAGGAAGAAAAGUGCGGGAUCCCUUUUGUGAAUUCAGAGGGUGAGGGUUUGAUGCUAUGGGCUCACACAAAGGUUGGAGUCAGCUCAGGUUGUGUUCUGCUCCAGAUCUGAUGGGUUUAGGAGGGGCUACCAAUCAUCCCAAGUGCACUCCAUGAAGGAUGCUGGUAACCAGUUUGUCCCUUUUUCAUUUUCUGAGACAUUUGUUAUUGGCCCUGGGAAUGGUGUGCUGCCAUGGGACCCUACCAGUAACCACCAGAGCAGCACAAACAGAGAAUUCCGUGUUGACCCCAGCAAUCUGUUGUCCUGAGAGCUGUUCAGAUGAGAGAAUGUCCAAAGUAAAAAGAAAUGAUUUCUGAAAUUAAUUAUAAACAGAGAAGGAGGUAAGUGCCAAUGGUGCAGGUGGAGUCUCCAUCCCCUAGGAGAAAGACAAAAAAGGGACAAGAAAACCUACAGGAAAAGAUUAUUUGAACAGUGAUAUAAAUGCAAAUGCUGACAUCUCAGUGAGAGGUGCUCUGGGCUUUUCCCAUUGAGCUCUACUGCUAAAGGGAAAGUGAUGACUUUCCCACUCUAAAGAGGAGGCGCUCAGCCUGCAGAUGUUACUGCUCAGGAUGUUUUCGACUGAGUAUUCCUUUGUUGUUGUUGUUGUUAAGAAAAACAAACGACUAAUUCAACAUAAUGAAACUUGAAGCAGGAGAAGAGCAGCCCGGACAAAUUGCUCAACUGAGUGUUUUGGUUCGGUUUUAUUUUCUGAAAGGAUGUUCCAAGAUUGGCCAAGACUCUGUUUGGAAAUAGAAGCAUCCCAUUUUCCAGCCCAUAAUACUCCUCGUUUGGAAUUGUGAGCUGAGUAUCGUAUGAAUGGGGCUUCUUUGCUGAAGGUUUGAGAGAAUUGAAACCAAAUGUUUAAAGGCUAUCCAUCCAAAAUGCUUGGCUCAUCUGAACUCCAACGACUGUUGGUUUUUGUUUUUACUCUAUAAACAAUAUUGAGAUUCUCGCUAUUUAUCCCCAUAUGCCUUAAGAAUUGUUUGAAAUUCUUUGGACAUUCUUUCAGGAACUCAAAACAUGUUUCCCAUGUAUGUUUGUGCUGGGAGCUGGUGUCUAAAGGGCAGCUCAGCUCCUCUGAAAGCAGGAGCAUGUGGCAGAUUUCCCUUUAGCAGUUCAGAAUGAAGCAGGAUGAGCCCUCUAGGAACAUUUCCAAUGGCCUUAAGUUGUGCCAGGGGGGGUGCAGGCAGGAUGGUAGGACACGUAUUCUGUGAAGGUGUGAUGAUGAAUUGGCACAGCUGCCCAGAGAGGUGGAGGGGUCACUGUACCUGGAGGUAUUCAAGUAUCAUGGAGAUGUGGCACUGGGGGAUGUGGUCAAUGGGCACGGUGGGGUGGGCUGGGGUUGGGCUUGGGGAUCUGAGAGGUCUUUUCCAAUCUUAAUGAUUCUGUGAUUCUGUGUUUCUGUGAACAAGCAGCCCCGCCAGCAGACCACAUGUGUGGCCUUUAUUUAACCUUGAAUCUUCUGUGUGUAAAGUGGAGGAGGUGGGCUUCAGGCCAAUGCUGGUUUUGAGUUCCUAAGGUGGGGAGCCUGACCCCAUCGUGGUGGCAGCUGGUGUAUCUGAAAGUGGGGGUCACAGGUCUGGGACAGCAUUGAGAGGCAGAUACUGCCUGGCCUGGGUGCCAUCAGCCAUCAGUGCCCUGCAGCAUUCACUGUAGGCUCCAACAGCAUCAGAAGCCUGUGGCUGCUUUCACGAUCUCUGUGCACUUAACAAAAGGAGGUGAAAUCCAGCAUGGUGAAAGCACAAAGGCUGUGAACUCAGAGCCAGGGUCCCAGGACCCCUGAGAGCUGGGCAUUAGCUCAGUGGCUGUUCUGCUGGGUCGAUGCGAUGCAUUCAGCCCUAUAUGUGCUGUUCAAAUUGUCCUUCUCAGGAGAAUUGCUUUGCUUUGUUGCCGUCUCUUCUGUGCCCAACAGCAGGGGGUUUCUGCAGCAAGCCAUAUAGAAAAUGUAUUGAUUCUGUUCCAUAAGCCCUGUACAUGGGAGGUAAGUGCUCCCCAGCCAAUACCUUUCAGUCUUUUCCUUUAGAUGUUGCUCACAUGCCCUAAAUCACCGCUGUUGAUGAAAGAACAAAAGAACGGAGCUGGGGGAACUGUGGCCAAAUGGGUUUAAUUCUGCUCAAGGCGUCACCGCUGCCCAGUGCUGAUGGAGCAGAGCAUGGAGGCAGGUGAUGGGACGUCAGUGAUAAAGGGCCCUCCAUUGCCAGGGCUGUCCUGGUGGCAGGUUUUAAACAGCGAGGAAGUUUGGCAAAGUAGCUGAGAUCUGCUUCUAAGGUUCCUGCAUGAACAGCUUCAGGUAAUGCUCAGACCAACAGCUUUGACCUCCAGAAAUUACUCAGUUGUCUUAGGAACCAUGAGAUGAUUAUUACCAUAAUUACUGUUUAACAAUGCUGAGUCUUUUCUGAGAGCCCGGCUUGGCUCCCACCCCUCUGCUGUGUCCACUGAGCACUGCUAUUCAGUGCUGUUGAAGCUUUUGGGGCGCUGUGCGACGCUGGCUUUGCAGUAGCAUCACACCUGAAUGGAUGCCAUAUCCCAAGGCAUUCCCAUUGUGUGACCCUGAGCUCUGGCACUGCAUCAGCUCUGAUUUAUGGACAACUUUCCCCACAGAGUGCGGAGCUGCCGCCCCUGUGCAGACUGUGGACAAGCAUUAAGAUGAAGGAGGUCUGAUUUUUCUUUUUCCCCAGGAACAUUGCUGGCCAAUGUCUCGGUAAUAAAUGCUAUGGAUUGAGGAAUGCAGUCUUGUUAUUGCCUGGCUGAGGGGAAUUCAUUCUACACGUUGGCUUUCCCAGAGUUUUCCACCCGGCCGUCGCUGACUCCUCACCACGCACAGAUAUUUCUGUAUUUCAGCAAAAUUCCUCACUUCUAAUCUGGAUAGUCCUCUGGGUGGAGCGCAAAACCCACAUUGUUAACUCCGGAUAGCAGUAAUUAAAAGAAAAUAAAAUCAAAGGUGCUCAGCGAAGCAAUGGAACAUUUUUUUCCCGUGGAAGCCAAAAGAUUAUAUUAAACUUCGGUGGUUUAAUAAAAUAUUAUGAAGUUUGGGAGCAUAUUUUCCCUGGGACUUACUCUGUUUAUACAUCUAAAAAAGUAAAUAGAAUAUCGCUUUACUUGACCACACAGAGAACCUGAUCUAUGGGGGCUGUCUAUGUUUCUUGGUGCGUCGCUCCCACCUCAGGUUUCACACAGUGCUGGGUUUUGGGAAAGAAGGAAUUCCAUGAAUGGUGGCGAAGGGACGUGGCACUGAAUGGGGAACAGAGGGGCGAAAUGCAAAGACGUGGCUUUCCAAGGUGUUCUGCUGCCUAAAGACUGUAGUGAGACAUCAAGCAUUGCUAAGCGGAAGAUAGGAGGCUGUGGAAGUGAUGCCAAGAAGAACAAGAGCCAAAGCGGGGAUCUCCAACCAAGCAGUGCCAGCUCAGGUGGUCUUAUGGACUGACACCAGUGGGUAAUUCUGCAUUUGCCUUUUGCAGAGCUCCCUGCUCUUUCCAGGCUGCUGCCGCCAGCAAAAAGAGAGCACAGCCUCUCAGUACCCGUAAACUUUAUUAAAUGUGUGCUUUUUCAUUCUUAAAUUAAAUUAAAAUCAGUCUGCUCCAUACUGGAAUAGCACCGAAGGGAGAGAGAUGACAGCAUCACAGAGCAGAGGGGAGGAAGGAGAGAAAAUCCAGAAACCAUUAUAUACGAACAAGAAUCUUUUUAAUGGUUAAGAAAACGGGCAUUUUCCCCCCAAAUGUGGAGAUGUAACAUUGCAUAUGCUAGUGUGUGUGCAAGAGAACAAGGAGGCUAUGCAUCAGGGUUAGUCAAAAUGACUUAGUGCAGGCUGGGCAUCACCAAAUGCUCCAGAAAUUGGACUCUGUGGUGCUGCAGCCCAAAGCCCACUCUGAAUUCCACAUACAGGAGUUGCCUUCACUGAUCUUCAUAGCGUGUUGGCCUUUGUAUUCCUUCUAAGUGGGUGCAUUCUUGGCUGGCAGAGUUUUGUAGGAGCCAAGGACGUUCACUGCAUGCAGUCAGUGCUGCUCACUGCAGCACAGCUGCAGCCCCUCCUCACCCUCCCCCAGGUCCCAGCAGCAGAGGCCGGGUCUCACAGUGCCAAAUUGGGCUCACAAAGGAAAUCCCAACUGGUCUGAAAUUUUCAGGGUGCUUUGUAUAGUUUUCUUUUCAAACAGAUGGUCUGAGACUGCAAACAAUGCGUGGCAUACGAGCCCAAGCUUUACCAGUGCCUAAGGGCUCAUUGGAUUAUUGAGAUCAGAAAGAUCUUAAUGCUCCCAGAUUAGUUUCUCAUUGUUAAUGUAUUGGUUUCUUCCUAAUCUAUUGA